UACGGAGGAUGCGAGCGUUAUCCGGAUUUAUUGGGUUUAAAGGGUGCGCAGGCGGGAAAUUAAGUCAGCGGUGAAAUCUCGGAGCUUAACUUCGAAACUGCCGUUGAAACUGGUUUUCUUGAGUAUAGAUGAAGUAGGCGGAAUUCGUUGUGUAGCGGUGACAUGCUUAGAUAUAACGAGGAACUCCGAUGGCGUAGGCAGCUUACUAGCUAUAACUGACGCUCAUGCACGAAAGCGUGGGUAUCAAACAGG
This 252-nucleotide ribosomal RNA is filed under the name uncultured bacterium. RNAcentral's name for it is "partial 16S ribosomal RNA". It matches the Rfam family "Bacterial small subunit ribosomal RNA", at positions 524 to 776 of the family's 1533-position model. The record is from RNAcentral.